CCUCUAUUAUUUACCUGCACUAUGAUUGAGCUGAUUCAGUUUACUUUGAUGCUUUCUAAUCUUUUUUUACAUGGUAAGGUGUGUAUGACUCUCUGGAGUGGAAGGACUCGAGUUCCACACCAAAUCCUUCGUCUAACAGAGGAGUUAUUUUCAUUUUGGAUAAGUGCUCAAUCUCACUCAAGCGUUUAACAGAGUAUCUUUGGAUUCUUCUAGCAUUAAAGAGUCCAUUCCAGGAGAUUUAAAUAUAAUGUAGAUACAUGAGUUGUUAAUCGUCAAGAACUGUUAGCUAUAGUGCUAUUCUUAAAUAUAAUUCUGGGUCUUGUACAGCAGCUUUUUCAGGUUUUGUGCAAAGUAGUGUUCAAUCUAAAAUGUUUGAAAGCCUUGCUCUUCGUGAAUCCCUCUUAUGGCUCGUUGCACAGGUAUGGUGGAUAUUGAGCUUGAUUCAAAAUGCGUGGUUGACACUGUUAUAUCCCAAAGAGAUGAGUUUUAGAUUUUGGCCAAUUUAUUCAUUGUUGUAAGCAUAUGUUGAGCCAAAAGCCUGGUUGGACCUUGUCUUGGUUAGAGACAAGCU
This 571-nucleotide long non-coding RNA is filed under the name Manihot esculenta (cassava). Its description in RNAcentral is "long non-coding RNA (MESC_LNC009791)". Lineage: Eukaryota; Viridiplantae; Streptophyta; Magnoliopsida; Malpighiales; Euphorbiaceae. The record is from RNAcentral.